RNAcentral lists this ribosomal RNA (264 nucleotides) under uncultured archaeon. RNAcentral's name for it is "partial 16S ribosomal RNA". It matches the Rfam family "Archaeal small subunit ribosomal RNA", at positions 717 to 982 of the family's 1478-position model. The record is from RNAcentral.
ACACGACUACAUUAGAUACCCGGGUAGUCCUAGCCGUAAACGAUACUCGCUAGGUGUCGGCCACGGUGCGACCGUUGUCGGUGCCGUAGGGAAGCCGUGAAGCGAGCCACCUGGGAAGUACGGCCGCAAGGCUGAAACUUAAAGGAAUUGGCGGGGGAGCACCACAACGGGUGGAGCUUGCGGUUUAAUUGGAUUCAACGCCGGAAACUUACCGGGACCGACAGCAACAUGAAGGCCAGGCUGAAGACUUUGCCGGAUUAGCUG